Long non-coding RNA from Hyla sarda, 1092 nucleotides. RefSeq lists it as uncharacterized. The record is from RefSeq and is a predicted model, not a curated record. The transcript has 3 exons. NCBI's taxonomy places the organism in Eukaryota, Metazoa, Chordata, Amphibia, Anura, Hylidae.
CGUAAGACGCCCGCUAUUGGUUAUCAGGUGGCACACAACGGAUGUUUUUGUUCGUCACAGUUUCCGGUGCGGUUGGAUGUUGUCUGCGUGGUGACUGUUGUGAGGAGAGAGCGGGAGCACACGUUUCUGCCUCAGUCUUCUAGUGAGUUCAUGUAGUGGAGGAGCUCCCGCCAUUCUCUCUGAGCUGCGUCCUGUACAGACGAGGCUGCACUUAGGUUCUUAGUUUUUGUGUUUUUACUGUCCUAGGCAAGUUUAGCACCCCUGACAAUUUCCAUGAUAAAUAUUUGGGUGUUUUGGAUCAGCAAUAUCAAAUAUCUGAACUACAACAGUGAUAUUAAGUAGUGAAAUGAGGCUUAUUGGAGUAACAGAAAAUGUGUAGACAGACACAGCAUGGACAUUCUGGAGAAGGAAAAGAAGUCUUAACUUGCAUGCACACAAUCCCUCUGCAUAAUACUAAGGCCCAUCCUGCUUCCUUUGCUCCAUUUCUAUUGCAAGGAAAUUUUUAACCAAGAUAACUAAUGUACUUCAAGUGCUCAAUCAAUGUCCAUUGAAAAGGCAAUCAUUUCUUCCUCUUCAGAGAUUUGGUAGCCAUCAUGUGCACUGUGAUGGUGAGGUUCCUGAUUUUUCACUAAAACCUGAAAAGAAAGAAUGUUAUUCUCAAAGCUUAUUCUCCAACUGUGCUUCAUCCUGAGUGCCAUUGAUGGGAGAACUGGUUUUGACCUAUUGCUGUAUGGACGUAUCAAAAAUUACUUACAUGCAAAUGAAAGUCCUUAAAGAAGCUCCUGCUGAUUUAAUAACAUUAUCUAACUACCUAAAUAAUACUGUAUGUAAUUGUUUUGUUAUUUGUUUCCAUCUCAAAAUUCCUGGAAUUUUUUACUUCAGUAGGGUUGUGAUCAUAUGGUGGCCUCCCUGGAAAUAACAUGCAUUUCCAGGCUUUCAAUUAGGCUACUAGAACCUCCUGUAUGAUGAAACUGCAUACAUUUCUUCAUGGGGGGAGGGAAGACAUGUCUGUUUCAGUUACUGAUAAUAGAGCACUUGUCACAGUGUUAUAUGCAAAAGAUCGAUCUUGGGCGCAGCUACAGUAGAAGACAG